GACGAACGCUGGCGGCGUGCUUAACACAUGCAAGUCGAACGGUGAAGCGCCUUCCUUUUUGGUGGGUGUGGAUGAGUGGCGGACGGGUGAGUAACACGUGAGUAACCUGCCCCCUUCUUCUGGAUAACCGCAUGAAAGUGUGGCUAAUACGGGAUAUUCUGGGUCUGUCGCAUGAUGGGUCUGGGAAAGAUUUUGUUUCGGUGGGGGAUGGGCUCGCGGCCUAUCAGCUUGUUGGUGGGGUGAUGGCCUACCAAGGCGGUGACGGGUAGCCGGCCUGAGAGGGUGGACGGUCACACAGGGACUGAGACACGGACAAGACUACUACGGGAGGCAGCAGUGGGGAAUAUUGCACGAUGGGCGGAAGCCUGAUGCAGCGACGCCGCGGGAGGGAUGGAGGCCUGCGGGUUGUGAACCUCUUUCGCCAGUGAAGCAGGCCUGCCUCGUUUGUGGGUGGGUUGACGGUAGCUGGAUAAGAAGCGCCGGCUAACUACGUG
RNAcentral lists this ribosomal RNA (494 nucleotides) under uncultured bacterium. RNAcentral describes it as "partial 16S ribosomal RNA". It matches the Rfam family "Bacterial small subunit ribosomal RNA", at positions 28 to 507 of the family's 1533-position model. The record is from RNAcentral.